Molecule: long non-coding RNA, 352 nt
Organism: Peromyscus eremicus (cactus mouse)
Lineage: Eukaryota; Metazoa; Chordata; Mammalia; Rodentia; Cricetidae
Exons: 2
Source: RefSeq, a predicted model, not a curated record
GGGCAGGGACACUUGCUGCCAUGCUGGGCAGAUGCACAUCAUGCAGUCAUGGUGGCGGUGGCAGCGGCCAGUAAUUCACAACCCAGAUGCUAUGUGGAGGAGUCCUGCCCUCGGUUUCCUGUGAGUAGGAGCCACCUGUCUUGCUGCAGAAAUCCCAGCAUCUGAGCCCUUGGACAAAGCCCAUCAGAAAACCAUGGUGUUCCUGCUGAAUCACAAAGGCCAAUCAGUACUUGGAGACUCAACUAGGGAAAGAUGGCUGACUCCGAGACAACUACCUUGCGGAGUCCCUCCCCGCACCCCAUCUCUUUGGUUCUUGUUGCUAAUUCUUCAAUGAAGCUGGCAUUUUACUCUC